GGGCGUUCGGUGGAUGCCUUGGCGCCAGGAGGCGAAGAAGGACGUGGCACGCUGCGAAAAGCCGCGGGGAGAUGCGAGCGAUCGUUGAUCCGCGGAUGUCCGAAUGGGGAAACCCCUCCGCAAGGAGAUCGUGUGCUGAAUACAUAGGCAUACGAGGCAAACCCGGGGAACUGAAACAUCUCAGUACCUGGAGGAAAAGACAUCAACAGAGAUUCCGCGAGUAGUGGCGAGCGAAAGCGGAGCAGGCCAGUGGUUACUGGAAGAGAAGGCGAGGGAUCUGGAAAGGUCCGCCGUAGAGGGUGACAGCCCCGUAGCCGUAGAGCUUCCAGUGAUCCUUGAGUAGGGCGGGGCACGUGAAACCCUGUCUGAACAUGGGGGGACCACCCUCCAAGCCUAAAUACUCCCUGGCGACCGAUAGUGCACAAGUACCGU
This 432-nucleotide ribosomal RNA is filed under the name uncultured bacterium. RNAcentral describes it as "bacterial LSU rRNA". It matches the Rfam family "Bacterial large subunit ribosomal RNA", at positions 15 to 504 of the family's 2925-position model. The record is from RNAcentral.